UACGUAGGUGGCAAGCGUUGUCCGGAAUUAUUGGGCGUAAAGCGCGCGCGGGCGGUCCUUUAAGUCUGAUGUGAAAGCCCACGGCUCAACCGUGGAGGGUCAUUGGAAACUGGGGGGACUUGAGUGCAGGAGAGAAGAGUGGAAUUCCACGUGUAGCGGUGAAAUGCGUAGAGAUGUGGAGGAACACCAGUGGCGAAGGCGACUCUUUGGCCUGUAACUGACGCUGAGGCGCGAAAGCGUGGGGAGCAAACAGG
Molecule: ribosomal RNA, 254 nt
Filed under: uncultured bacterium
Lineage: Bacteria
Description: partial 16S ribosomal RNA
Rfam family: Bacterial small subunit ribosomal RNA
Source: RNAcentral